This 468-nucleotide ribosomal RNA is filed under the name uncultured bacterium. RNAcentral describes it as "partial 16S ribosomal RNA". It matches the Rfam family "Bacterial small subunit ribosomal RNA", at positions 28 to 507 of the family's 1533-position model. The record is from RNAcentral.
GACGAACGCUGGCGGCGUGCUUAAUACAUGCAAGUCGAACGGAAAGGCCCUGCUUUUGUGGGGUGCUCGAGUGGCGAACGGGUGAGUAACACGUGAGUAACCUGCCCUUGACUUUGGGAUAACUUCAGGAAACUGGGGCUAAUACCGGAUAGGAGCUCCUGCUGCAUGGGGGGGGUUGGAAAGUUUCGGCGGUUGGGGAUGGACUCGCGGCUUAUCAGCCUGUUGGUGGGGUAGUGGCUUACCAAGGCUUUGACGGGUAGCCGGCCUGAGAGGGUGACCGGCCACAGUGGGACUGAGAUACGGCCCAGACUACUACGGGAGGCAGCAGUGGGGAAUAUUGCACAAUGGGCGGAAGCCUGAUGCAGCAACGCCGCGUGCGGGAUGACGGCCUUCGGGUUGUAAACCGCUUUCGCCUGUGACGAAGCGUGAGUGACGGUAAUGGGUAAAGAAGCACCGGCUAACUACGUG